AUUCAUUCUGGGAUAUCCAAUAAAAUUGGAACGGUACAGAGGAAACUAGCAUGACCCUUAUGCAAGGAUGACACAUGUCUGCUUUAAUUUGACUGACAUUUAC
Small nuclear RNA from Solanum dulcamara, 103 nucleotides. Lineage: Eukaryota; Viridiplantae; Streptophyta; Magnoliopsida; Solanales; Solanaceae. The record is from RefSeq and is a predicted model, not a curated record.